CAGCAGCCGCGGUAAUACGGAGGGGGCUAGCGUUGUUCGGAAUUACUGGGCGUAAAGCGCACGUAGGCGGCUUGGUAAGUUAGAGGUGAAAGCCCGGAGCUCAACUCCGGAAUUGCCUUUAAGACUGCCGAGCUAGUAGGUGAGAGAGGUAAGUGGAAUUCCGAGUGUAGAGGUGAAAUUCGUAGAUAUUCGGAAGAACACCAGUGGCGAAGGCGGCUUACUGGCUCAUUCUAGACGCUGAGGUGCGAAAGCGUGGGGAGCAAACAGGAUUAGAUACCCGUGUAGUCCCUGUCUCUUAUAC
Molecule: ribosomal RNA, 301 nt
Filed under: uncultured bacterium
Lineage: Bacteria
Description: partial 16S ribosomal RNA
Rfam family: Bacterial small subunit ribosomal RNA
Source: RNAcentral